Molecule: non-coding RNA, 73 nt
Organism: Phrynosoma platyrhinos (Desert horned lizard)
Lineage: Eukaryota; Metazoa; Chordata; Lepidosauria; Squamata; Phrynosomatidae
Source: the annotation of a GenBank genome assembly
GCCAGUAUGGUGUAGUGGUUUUAAUGUUGGGAUAAGACUCCAAGAGACCAGAGUUCAAAUCUCUGCUCAGCCU